Molecule: RNA transcript, 4724 nt
Organism: Orcinus orca (killer whale)
Lineage: Eukaryota; Metazoa; Chordata; Mammalia; Artiodactyla; Delphinidae
Gene name: atherin-like
Exons: 6
Source: RefSeq, a predicted model, not a curated record
GAGGGGGCGGAGCGCACGGCCCGCUCCCUCUCUCCUCCCCCGGGAGGCGGAGGAGACCCUAUCUCGGGCCGCCGCGCCUAGGCCCGUGGACAGCCUGCGGCAGGGGCAUGGCGGCCCCGAGCAGCGGCGUGCCUGCGAGGAGCCGUGCAUCUUCAUGCCUUCGUGAACACGUGUAGAGUUACCUUCACAGGCCGCCUAGGCCCUGGCCAAUUCGCCCUUCCUCUGCCCGUCCGCUCAGCCGGCUUCCCGCUAACCUUGACAAGCAUUUCUGCGCACGGUGCACGCUUCUUGCAUUUUUUUUUCCUUCUUUGAACUAAAACCGAAACAAACUCCUGUUUUCUCGAGUGGUUUCUGUAGCGGCGCUGAACCGGAACACCCCAGAUGUUUUCUCUCGGUGAGAGGGUGAGCUGGUAGUGAGCCCAUUUCUCACACGCGGAAACUGAGGCCUGCGGAGAGGCGGCCCCGGACAGAGAUGAGGAAAGUCAGGAAGAUGCCCAUGAGGCCCAGAAAGUUUGUGCUGAGAUUUGAAGAAGGAGAAGAAAAAGAAGGCGGAAUGCUUACCCUGGAAGGGGAACGGCAGCGACAGAGCAAGUCUCAGGAAGGGCCUGGUGUGUGUUAGAGCAGGUGCACAAGUACGUGGGCCUCUCACUGUUGUGGCCUCUCCCGUUGCGGAGCACAGGCUCCAGACGCAGGCUCAGCGGCCAUGGCUCACGGGCCCAGCUGCUCCACGGCAUGUGGGAUCUUCCCGGACCGGGGCACGAACCUGCGUCCCCUGCAUCGGCAGGCGGACUCUCAACUACUGCGCCACCAGGGAAGCCCGAUAACGAACAUUUAUUGAGAACAAGUCAUCACCAGAAAAUCUUCAGGAUACAAUACACAAAGAGAGGAGCUGCCAGUGCUGGAAGGACGGGUCCCAGAAGUCUCCACACUCAGAGGGGGAGGAGGGUGGUCCACCCUCUACACGUCUGCCCAGCCUGGCGCUGGCUUUGAAGCCCCAGAGCCCUGAGUCAGACAUGGCCAGCGUGGCUCUUUUGUCCCUCCAAUUCUCGCCAACUUGCCAUCACACAGAGAACUUAUGCUACCGAUUCCGGUGUUCUCUAACUUAGGUAAGUUUAUGCUUUUCUUUCUCCUCCUCUGCCUACAGCCUCCUCCAACCCAGGGAUUUGGUUGUAACCAAAAUCCUGAUCCAGCAGGUGAUGCCUCCACUCUCCUAAGACUCAGGGUAUUGAACCCCCUACACUUCCAUAGCACGUGAUAAUGUGCAAAGCACUCUCAUGUAGCGUUCUUUCAUCUAAAUCUUACACAGAUUAUCUGAGGUUGGUAGGACGUUUUCUCCACGAAGGAACUGUUGUUCAGAGGGACUGUGUGGCUUGCCCAAGUUCACUUAGCUGAUAAAUGACAGACACAAAGCUCAAAGCCAGAUCAUCUAACUCUCAGUCUACAGCUUUUCGAAUACACAUGCUCACCCUUUUGCCAUGUAUGUGACAUCCAAGUCAGCUUUCAACUUGGAAUACAGUGGAGGCUAAGAUCUAGCAAAUUUAUUCUCAAUUUUCAUUUCCAUCAGUAGAUAGAUUGAGGCUAUUCAGACAAAAGGAAUUAUGCACCACUUCAUCUACAUGGAUCCACUGGGAUAGCGUACAACACGGUGAGGGCAACGCCAGCUGUCCAGGGAGCAGGAAAAUAUGGUGGGAGAGGUGCCAGGGCUGGAGGCACACGUGUGAUGUGGAGGUCAGGGGAUGGGCUUGGGAACGGGCAGCAGGGAGAGGGGAGAAGGACGUCCGUGCACGGAGCGUCCACUGUGUGCCACGCUCACCCGUUAACCGCUCACGGGACUUGGGAAACACGCGCACACAGAUGCGGCAGGCCCCGCUGGUUCCCUCAGGACGUGGUAGCGGGGCGUGGUGGGCCGCCUCUGCUCCACCGGCGGGCAGCCAGGGACUGAGUGACUUCGCACACCGAGCUGACCGCGCGCACCGAGCUGGUCUCAGCCUCCUGCCCCCAGCUCACGUGCGCGGCUCUUUCCUCCCCCGGCAUGUGUUUCCUCUCCUCUCCGGCAGCUCCCCACCUCAUAGGAGCACAGUUUGGGGCAGCUUUACUGCAUCCGCUCACCGGGCAUCCUCGGCUGCAGCACCCCGGCGCAGGGAUCCGGGGCUGCGAAGGGGCUGCGGGCAAGGUGUGCUGCCACGGUGGAGAGAGCCGCCCCUUAGGAGGCAGGGGUAUGAGGGCAGCCAGGGCACUGAACGUGCUCCUGCAGAAGAGGAAGUUUUGCAGGCGCGCUGCCAGGAGAGGCACCGGACCGAGAGGAGGGCCGGGUCACCGCAGGCUCAGAAGCUGUGCUGAGGGCCUCAGGAAUUGUCCUAGAGGCGGUGGGAAUUACAGAGGAACUUGAAGGAGGUUCUCUCCCCGUGAGCAUACACCGAGGAAGGGUCGUAUGUGGACACGGAGGAAGGGGACUGCCGGCCAGCCAGGAGGUGGGUUCUCACCAGGAACUGACCGUGAUUGCACCCUGGUCUCGGACUUGCAGCCUCCAGAACGGGGAGAAUCCGAUUCCUGUUACUUAAGCCCCUAGUCUCCGGCACUGUGUCAUGGCAGCCCACCUGGCGGAGACGCACACAGCCCCUGUGCCUGUUGGCUCUGGAAAUCCAGGGCGAGCACAGAAUCCUCACCCCCAUGGAGCUUGCAGUCUAGUGGUGGGGAGAGGGAGGCAUGAAAUGAACGCUCCUCGCAGACAUAUGUAGUUACUCUUAUGGAAGAGAGUAACAGGGCCUCAUUUAGACUAUGGAAGACAGGGGAGGACUUCUGAGGACGCGACCUCCAACCUUCAACGUGAAGGAUGAGUGGAGGGAGCCUGGCGUGAGCCGAGGAAAGGGCAUCACAGGCUCGGGGAGGGUGCGUGUGAGGCCCCCGGGUGAGAAAGGGCUUGGAGAGAAACUGACAAGACACAGUGUCCCCAGAGCAGGGAGGGACAUGAAAUCAGACUGGGAGCUCCUGGGGGCAGGUCGCUUGGGGACUGGCAGGUCUUGCUGAGAGGGUUACAUUUAUGUGCUCAUUAAAGGGUUUAAGUGGAGAAGUGAAAUGAUCCAAUGUUCAGGUUUAAAAGAGAACUCUGAAUAAUGUGAGAAUCAGAUGGGAGGGGUGGGACAUGCUGUCUGUUCCGUCCCGGGUUGGGGGUCCCGAGCAGCUGGCGGACUAGAGUGAAGUGGUUCACGUGGAGGCCAGUGCAUAGGAUGGGUGGCGGGGAGGGGAACAGGCACAACAGCUGGGAGAGGGUGAGUUUGAGGCCACUGAGUCUGGCGGGGAGCUGGAAGCAUAUGGGCCUGUGGUUCAGGAGACAGAGCCAGCCUGCGCGGAAAGGAGGGAACACAGCAGGCCCGAGGCCGCCGUCCUUAGAGACACGUGAUGGCACGGCUGGCCCUCGGCUGGUGUCUGGGACCUCGGCUCUCAGGGUGCCCCCGUCACCAGUGAACCGACAAGGCUGGUUUUCCGCGCCUAGACUGUCUGCGCAGACCCUGUGGUUUAUGGUGGACGCCGGCUUUCCUUCCGGGAGUUUGGCGUGUUGCUGUGUGCCAGGCGGAGGGCGUCCACAUGCGCAGCCCCCGGAUACAGCCCUGAGCUCUGAGUCUCUCCUGGGCGUCCCUGGGCUGAAACCUCACACGCGCGUGGCUGCAUUUUCAUUGCUGGGGAAGAGCGAGCUCCGUGCAGCCCCCGUGGGAGGCGGAGAGCACGGAAGCCUCACACGGAUUCUCUGGACCCGCCCGUGUCUCUGUCGCUUAUGAUUCGGCCGGUAUCCUCAGCACGUCUCCAAUAAAUCUCAGCCAUGAGCACAAGUCGCCCCGAGUCUCGGGAGUUCUAGCGAAUCUCAGAAUGAUGGGGUGGUCUUGGGGACCCCUGACAGUCUCAGGAUUUAAAUUUGGGAGUGAUCAGCAUGUAGGAAAAAACUGUAACCACGUGACCGUACGAGAUUUCCGCCCCCCGCCCCCCGCCCCCCACCCCAGGAAGAGUGAGUAGGACCCUGAGGAUCUCCGCAAGUUAGGAGUGAGCGGGGGACAGGAGCCACGAAGGAGGUGAGGACUCAGGCAGCCGGAGAGAGGAAUGUCUGCAGACUUAGCAAGGUCACUGACGGCCUUGGCCAGCAGUCCUGUGGGCAGUGGUGGGGAGAGCUGGCUUGUUAGGGGGUGAGGAGGGUGGAAGGAACAGAGAGGGAUGUGGGGAGGUGUAAACAUAUUGUUUGUAAGACAGAAAAACAACUUGAUCACUUGUUUUCUCAUGUAUUAAGUGUCUGCUGCAUGACAGGCUCUAGGCCAGACGUGAGUGAUGCAGUGAGCACAGGGUGUGGUCCAGACCUCACGGAGUCUGUGGUCCAGCUGAGUGUUUGAAAAGCAAAGUGCACAAGGCCGUGCGGGUGUUGCAUCUAGCCCGAGGGCUUCUUUGACUAAGUGACCCUGAAUCUGGGAAUUGAUGAAUAACUAGGAAUGUGUUGAAGUCCGGGGAGUAGAAAAAGGGAAAAAGGUCAUUUCAGGCAGAGGGAAGAAUGUAUAUGGGCUGAGGACCUAGAGAAGGUGGAGGGCUCUGGCUUCUAGAAGGGAUUGAUUCUGACCGGCGGAAAUACCUCAACAUGUAACAGAAAAAGGAAAAGAGGGUAGGUUUUAAAAGAAUAGAUAGAGCUACAGGUAAGGCUUAGGACGGGCGGUAAGACACCGAGCUUUCUUGUAUGAUGACUUUCA